Long non-coding RNA from Entelurus aequoreus (snake pipefish), 480 nucleotides. RefSeq lists it as uncharacterized. The transcript is spliced from 3 exons. The record is from RefSeq and is a predicted model, not a curated record. Lineage: Eukaryota; Metazoa; Chordata; Actinopteri; Syngnathiformes; Syngnathidae.
UGCCGUUAAUGACUGCUGCUACUUUACAUUACUGUUAAAACACUGCAACAUGUUUUGUUUUCACAAGAUUAACAAUGCACUGUGUGUUUUGUCAGUCAGAUGAUUGUAGUAAUAAUCAGCAUCUAAUAAUAACAAUAGUAAUACAUUUGCCUUUCACUUUUUUACAGAGUGGGCGUGCAGCGGACAAGUUGGAUGCCACAGCUGCAAUACAUCAUCAUCUACCAACAUCACACAUACAAUACCCGAUGCCUUCCAGAAGCAGCGGGUUGUGCUCCUUCGUCAACAAUGGCAAAAGACCUCACUGCAGCGCUGUCACAUCAGAGAAGAAGAUAAAAGAACAGCUGGAGAGUCCACCGCGGGAGAAGACAGGACCUUUGGUUCUAUGCUGAAACUUUAAAGGUGCCUCUGAAUCCUGUGUAUGCCGCGUCCUCGACCGUCUGGGACCGGGGAGAGGCCGCGUGGACCCCCGCCAUCUCGUGC